UGCUUGAUUUCAAGGAAUGAUUGUAUCUGUUAGUAUUCUAGCAUCUGAACGUAGAAGUUCAGACUUCAUGUUAAAAAUUCAAUUAGCUAUUUGUAAUUUCUUAGUUUAGUUUAAAAUGGAAUAGAGUAUUCCAUAAAGUACUUUGUUAAGUCGACAUAAUAAGGGAUAAGUAUGCCAAAACCAGACUAAAUAAAUGUCUCUUUGAAAUAUUUGAAUUACAA
This 221-nucleotide long non-coding RNA is filed under the name Phaseolus vulgaris (common bean). RNAcentral's name for it is "long non-coding RNA (PVUL_LNC005068)". The record is from RNAcentral. Lineage: Eukaryota; Viridiplantae; Streptophyta; Magnoliopsida; Fabales; Fabaceae.